AGGACGAACGCUGGCGGCAUGCCUAAUACAUGCAAGUCGAGCGAACAGAUGAAGUGCUUGCACUUCUGACGUUAGCGGCGAACGGGUGAGUAACACGUAAGGAAUCUACCUAUAAGCGGGGGAUAACAUUCGGAAACGGGUGCUAAUACCGCAUAAUAUCUUCUUCCGCAUGGAAGAAGAUUGAAAGACGGCUCUGCUGUCACUUAUAGAUGACCUUGCGGUGCAUUAGUUAGUUGGUGGGGUAACGGCCUACCAAGACGAUGAUGCAUAGCCGACCUGAGAGGGUGAUCGGCCACAUUGGGACUGAGACACGGCCCAAACUCCUACGGGAGGCAGCAGUAGGGAAUCUUCCGCAAUGGGCGAAAGCCUGACGGAGCAAUGCCGCGUGAGUGAAGAAGGCCUUCGGGUCGUAAAACUCUGUUAUAAGAGAAGAACAAAUUGUAGAGUAACUGCUACAGUCUUGACGGUAUCUUAUCAGAAAGCCACGGCUAACUACGUGCCAGCAGCCGCGGUAAUACGUAGGUGGCAAGCGUUGUCCGGAUUUAUUGGGCGUAAAGGGAGCGCAGGUGGUUUCUUAAGUCUGAUGUGAAAGCCCACGGCUUAACCGUGGAGGGUCAUUGGAAACUGGGAAACUUGAGUACAGAAGAGGAAUGUGGAACUCCAUGUGUAGCGGUGGAAUGCGUAGAUAUAUGGAAGAACACCAGUGGCGAAGGCGACAUUCUGGUCUGUUACUGACACUGAGGCUCGAAAGCGUGGGGAGCAAACAGGAUUAGAUACCCUGGUAGUCCACGCCGUAAACGAUGAGUGCUAGGUGUUGGAGGGUUUCCGCCCUUCAGUGCCGCAGUUAAC
This 849-nucleotide ribosomal RNA is filed under the name Aerococcus sp. M_Sw_oHS_05/11_6_3(1). RNAcentral's name for it is "bacterial SSU rRNA". It matches the Rfam family "Bacterial small subunit ribosomal RNA", at positions 26 to 856 of the family's 1533-position model. The record is from RNAcentral. Lineage: Bacteria; Bacillati; Bacillota; Bacilli; Lactobacillales; Aerococcaceae.